This 491-nucleotide ribosomal RNA is filed under the name Methylibium sp. WSR39. Its description in RNAcentral is "bacterial SSU rRNA". It matches the Rfam family "Bacterial small subunit ribosomal RNA", at positions 395 to 879 of the family's 1533-position model. Lineage: Bacteria; Pseudomonadati; Pseudomonadota; Betaproteobacteria; Burkholderiales; Sphaerotilaceae. The record is from RNAcentral.
UGCCGCGUGCGGGAAGAAGGCCUUCGGGUUGUAAACCGCUUUUGUCAGGGAAGAAACGCGCUGAGCUAAUACCUCGGCGUAAUGACGGUACCUGAAGAAUAAGCACCGGCUAACUACGUGCCAGCAGCCGCGGUAAUACGUAGGGUGCAAGCGUUAAUCGGAAUUACUGGGCGUAAAGCGUGCGCAGGCGGCUUUGCAAGACAGAUGUGAAAUCCCCGGGCUUAACCUGGGAACUGCAUUUGAGACUGCAUGGCUGGAGUGCGGCAAAGGGGGAUGGAAUUCCGCGUGUAGCAGUGAAAUGCGUAAAUAUGCGGAGGAACACCGAUGGCGAAGGCAAUCCCCUGGGCCUGCACUGACGCUCAUGCACGAAAGCGUGGGGAGCAAACAGGAUUAAAUACCCUGGUAGUCCACGCCCUAAACGAUGUCAACUGGUUGUUGGACGGCUUGCUGUUCAUUAACCAAGCUAACGCGUGAAGUUGACCGCCUGGGGA